GAGACUAAAACUGAAUGCUUCGAU
RNAcentral lists this non-coding RNA (24 nucleotides) under Arabidopsis thaliana (thale cress). Lineage: Eukaryota; Viridiplantae; Streptophyta; Magnoliopsida; Brassicales; Brassicaceae. The record is from RNAcentral.